AGGUAAAUCUUAUGUGAUUNGAGUAGUAACAGCGGUAGGGUUUGGUAACAUGGUGAAUNUCCGAGUUCACCUGGACCGNAUCAUAGUGCGUGACUAAUGUCGUUAGAUGGNNGGGAAUUCUUAGAUCGGAAAAUNGUAGAUAUAGGAUGGNNCCCAGUGGNAGGGGUCCAUCGGUUGAUCUGCCAGUGAGGUGNNAUAAGNUGGGAGCAAGCAGAAUUAGUUCCCUUGGUAGUCCGCGCUGUAUCCGAUGUCGAUUAACUUUUGGGAUCCUCAAGAUAUUAGUGCCGCAUCUACCGUGAUAAGUUGACCCCGUGGGGAGUGCGGCUCCAAGGUUAAACCUGAAAAGAUUACAUGGGUCCCCGCACAACCGGUGGACCAGGUGUUUUAAUUAGAAGUAACGAGAAGACCCUUACCUGUCGUAUACAUGUCGGGAAUNUGCCAGAGNUUAGAGGGUGCUUUCGGGAUUGGGAACUCAGGUCAGCAAGGUAUGUCGUCAGUUCCUGUCGUGAGAUGUUGGGUUAAGUCCCGUACCGAGGGCAUCCUUUGCCCUUAGUUCCCAGCUGGUUAUGGUGGUCACUCUAAGGACAAUACUGGUCACAACCGGGAGGAAGGUGGGUAUGGCGUCAAUUCAUCAUGCCCCUUACGGCCAGGUCUUCUCACGUCAUACAAUGGUCGGUACAGAGGGUUGCCAAUCCGCGAGGUGGAGCUAAUCCCAUAAAACCGAUCGUAGUCCGGAUCGCAGUCUGCAAUUCCCUUGCGUGAAGUGGGAAUCGUUAGUAAUCGUGAAUCUAGAAUGUCACGGUGAAUACGUUCCCGGCCCUUGUACACCCCGCCCGUCACACCAUGGGAGUG
RNAcentral lists this ribosomal RNA (852 nucleotides) under Pseudomonas nitroreducens. RNAcentral describes it as "bacterial SSU rRNA". It matches the Rfam family "Bacterial small subunit ribosomal RNA", at positions 543 to 1412 of the family's 1533-position model. Lineage: Bacteria; Pseudomonadati; Pseudomonadota; Gammaproteobacteria; Pseudomonadales; Pseudomonadaceae. The record is from RNAcentral.